RNAcentral lists this long non-coding RNA (746 nucleotides) under Monodelphis domestica (gray short-tailed opossum). Its description in RNAcentral is "lncRNA (ENSMODG00000037946.1)". The record is from RNAcentral. Lineage: Eukaryota; Metazoa; Chordata; Mammalia; Didelphimorphia; Didelphidae.
AAUGAUUUCUAAGCCGCGUUUCUUCAAGCCUUUUUAGCAAGCCUCUUGACUUAUCUCAUGCUUGCUUGCAUUCCUGUCCCAGCCCUGCCCACCCUGGUGGUCUCUCUCUUGUUCACCUGGUCUCAGUUCCUGCCUGCCUUUCCUGCCUGCCCGGAUGCACUCCGUUCUCACCUGGUUCCCGCUCUCCUGCCUGCCUGCCCACUCGGUGGCCUGCCUGCUUUGGCCUGCUUCUGCCUGUCUCAGCGUCUGGACCUGUUUGACCCAGAUCUCACUCACCUGUGGAUCAUGGCCAGAUAUGAAGAGGAAAUGGAUAUUAUUUUUGGACAAGAUAUACACAAAAGAGCCAAUGCACAGGACCAAAGAUAAGCCAAUCCAGGAAGGAUUGGUGCACUUCUAGGCCAAUACAACGGUCUUGAACCUACUGUGAAGACUCCAGGUUACUAUGUUUAAUAUUUGUUAUGACAUAGGCUUUCCUUGUGUCCACACUCACUCACUCUGAAAAUAUACUUACAGAUGAGUAUCCCAAAACUUGGCUUCUACAUGGCUUCUAUAAUCUGGUCCCUUUUCUGUCUUUCAUAGAGUGGUAACUUUCUGUAGUCCUGGCUACUGACUGGGUAAAUGCAUCAUUGAUUAGGUCAUUUUAAUUAGGCCCUGGUUCAAGGACCUGUUAUAGAUUUAUUUUUCCUUUACUUGGAAUUUUUACACAUAAGACUUUGAUAGUCUAUAUUUUCAUCCAGUAAUUUUCU